RNAcentral lists this ribosomal RNA (535 nucleotides) under uncultured archaeon. RNAcentral describes it as "bacterial SSU rRNA". It matches the Rfam family "Archaeal small subunit ribosomal RNA", at positions 342 to 879 of the family's 1478-position model. The record is from RNAcentral.
CGAAAACUCCACAAUGUACGGAAGUACGAUGGGGUUAUCUCGAGUGCAGUCCGAUAAGGGCUGCUUUUCCAUAGAGUAAUAUCCUGUGGGAAUAAGAGGGGGGCAAGACUGGUGUCAGCCGCCGCGGUAACACCAGCCCCUCGAGUGGUGGGGACUAUUAUUUGGCCUAAAGCGUCCGUAGCUGGCUGUAUCCGUCCCCCGUUAAAUCCAGCGUCCUAAGCGUUGGACCGCGGGUGAUACCAUACAGCUAGAGGGUGGGAUAGGUGAGCGGUAUUUCUGGGGUAGGGGCGAAAUCCUUUGAUCCCAGGAGGACCACCAGUGGCGAAGGCUGCUCACUAGAACACGCCUGACGGUCAGGGACGAAAGCUGGGGCAGCGAACCGGAUUAGAUACCCGGGUGGUCCCAGCUGUAAACGAUGCUAGCUAGGUGUUGGGUCGGCCACGCGCCGCCCCAGUGCCGCAGGGAAGCCGUUAAGCUAGCCGCCUGGGGAGUACGGCCGCAAGGCUGAAACUUAAAGGAAUUGGCGGGGGAGCAC